Molecule: long non-coding RNA, 727 nt
Organism: Mugil cephalus (flathead mullet)
Lineage: Eukaryota; Metazoa; Chordata; Actinopteri; Mugiliformes; Mugilidae
Exons: 3
Source: RefSeq, a predicted model, not a curated record
GAGGCGGAACCCAGAGGGCGCUUCAGCAGCUCCGGUGGGCAAUUUGGAAAAUUAAGCUCUUACCUGUUUCUGAUCAAGAAAAUUAAUGAUUCGCAUGGAUGUCAGUUGACAACGGCAAGGCACGAGCACGCCCCAUUGCCUCUGCCUGCACCAUUAAAAUGUGAUCCCGCAGUUUUAUAAUGAAGCGUCUCAGAUUCAUCACUAAAGUGUGUCUUUGAGUCCGCGCGCCACAGCAGCGCCGAUCAGAAGCUCUGCUGCCACAGCUGUGCACAUUCGCGCGACGCCCCUGACUGAUGCCUGACAGACGAGGUGAUGGAGAGGCGCAAGAGCACGUCGGUGCAGAGCCGAGCGAACCACCGGCAGGAGCAGCGGCAGCGGAAUCAGCCUCACCCUGCCUCUCCUCUCCUCUCCUCUCCUCCUACUUCUCUCUCUCCCUCUCUUUAGCUCUGCCUUUUGGAGCAGACUCUCUGGCGCCGGCGCCGUGACGUCACCCCAUUCACAGCAGCCCUCGAGCCAGCCCUCGCGGCGCCGCUGAGGCGGUUUCCAUGGUAACCGGGUUUCGGGGAUGUCAGUCCGAGGUGGUUCUCAGCUGAUCAACCCGGGGCAGGAUUAGCGCCCGGACGCGGGUUCGAGUCCGGGCUAGUCCCUCUUUACACACACGGACCAGUGAAGGAAUGCAACGAUCGCAGAGUUCUUCUACUGUAAAAAAAAAAAAAAAAGAAAGAAA